AGUGAACGCUGGCGGUAGGCCUAACACAUGCCAGUCGAACGGCAGCACAGUAAGAGCUUGCUCUUACGGGUGGCGAGUGGCGGACGGGUGAGGAAUACAUCGGAAUCUACUUUUUCGUGGGGGAUAACGUAGGGAAACUUACGCUAAUACCGCAUACGACCUACGGGUGAAAGCAGGGGAUCUUCGGACCUUGCGCGAUUGAAUGAGCCGAUGUCGGAUUAGCUAGUUGGCGGGGUAAAGGCCCACCAAGGCGACGAUCCGUAGCUGGUCUGAGAGGAUGAUCCGGCCACAAUGGAGGUGAGACAGGGCCGAGACUCCGACGGGGGGAAGCAGGGGGGAAUUUUGGAGAAGGGGCGCAGCCCUGACCAAGCAAUCCCGGGUGGGGAAAAAAGGCUUUCGGGUGGUAAACCCUUUUUGUGGGAAAGAAAAAGCAACAGUUAAAUACCCGGCUGUUGGGACGGUACCCAAAAAAAAAGCCCCGGCUACCUCCGUG
Molecule: ribosomal RNA, 493 nt
Filed under: uncultured bacterium
Lineage: Bacteria
Description: partial 16S ribosomal RNA
Rfam family: Bacterial small subunit ribosomal RNA
Source: RNAcentral